UAUGAAAACAAACAACUGUUCUGAGCGC
RNAcentral lists this small RNA (28 nucleotides) under Bombyx mori (domestic silkworm). RNAcentral describes it as "ovarian small RNA-23829". Lineage: Eukaryota; Metazoa; Arthropoda; Insecta; Lepidoptera; Bombycidae. The record is from RNAcentral.